Molecule: ribosomal RNA, 464 nt
Filed under: uncultured soil bacterium
Lineage: Bacteria
Description: bacterial SSU rRNA
Rfam family: Bacterial small subunit ribosomal RNA
Source: RNAcentral
AGGACGAACGCUGGCGGCGUGCUUAAAACAUGCAAGUCGAACGAGACCUUUGGUCUAGUGGCGAACGGCGGAGUAAUACAUAAGCAACCUGCCUCAAAGACCGGGAUAGCCCCUCGAAAGAGGGAUUAAUACCGGAUGUGGCCUUUUGUGGGCAUCCACGAAAGAUUAAAACGAGUAAUCGGCUUUGAGAGGGGCUUGUGGCCUAUCAGCUUGUUGGUGGGGUAAUGGCCUACCAAGGCUUCGACGGGUAGCGGGUCUGAGAGGAUGAUCCGCCCGACUGGGACUGAGACACGGCCCGGACUCCUACGGGAGGCAGCAGUUGGGAAUCUUGCACAAUGGGCGAAAGCCUGAUGCAGCGACGCCGCGUGGAGGACGAAGUCUCUCGGGAUGUAAACUCCUUUUGCCAGGAACGAUAAUGACGGUACUGGUAGAAUAAGCCCGACUAACUACGUGCCAGCAGCCGC